RNAcentral lists this ribosomal RNA (460 nucleotides) under uncultured bacterium. RNAcentral describes it as "partial 16S ribosomal RNA". It matches the Rfam family "Bacterial small subunit ribosomal RNA", at positions 338 to 795 of the family's 1533-position model. The record is from RNAcentral.
CCUACGGGUGGCAGCAGUGAGGAAUAUUGGUCAAUGGACGAGAGUCUGAACCAGCCAAGUAGCGUGAAGGACGACUGCCCUAUGGGUUGUAAACUUCUUUUAUAUGGGAAUAAAAUGUUCCACGUGUGGGAUUUUGUAUGUACCAUAUGAAUAAGGAUCGGCUAACUCCGUGCCAGCAGCCGCGGUAAUACGGAGGAUCCGAGAGUUAUCCGGAUUUAUUGGGUUUAAAGGGAGCGUAGGUGGAUUGUUAAGUCAGUUGUGAAAGUUUGCGGCUCAACCGUAAAAUUGCAGUUGAAACUGGCAGUCUUGAGUACAGUAGAGGUGGGCGGAAUGCGUGGUGUAGCGGUGAAAUGCUUAGAUAUCACGAAGAACUCCGAUUGCGAAGGCAGUUCACUGGACUGCAACUGACACUGAGGCUCGAAAGUGUGGGUAUCAAACAGGAUUAGAUACCCGGGUAGUC